RNAcentral lists this ribosomal RNA (484 nucleotides) under uncultured bacterium. Its description in RNAcentral is "partial 16S ribosomal RNA". It matches the Rfam family "Bacterial small subunit ribosomal RNA", at positions 30 to 507 of the family's 1533-position model. The record is from RNAcentral.
AUUGAACGCUGGCGGCAGGCCUAACACAUGCAAGUCGAGCGGAUGAAGGGAGCUUGCUCCUGGAUUCAGCGGCGGACGGGUGAGUAAUGCCUAGGAAUCUGCCUGGUAGUGGGGGAUAACGUCCGGAAACGGGCGCUAAUACCGCAUACGUCCUGAGGGAGAAAGUGGGGGAUCCUCGGACCUCACGCUAUCAGAUGAGCCUAGGUCGGAUUAGCUAGUUGGUGGGGUAAAGGCCUACCAAGGCGACGAUCCGUAACUGGUCUGAGAGGAUGAUCAGUCACAAUGGAAAUGAGACAAGGUCCAGACGCCUACGGGAGGCAGCAGGGGGGAAUAUUGGACAAUGGGCGAAAGCCUGAUCCAGCCAUGCCGCGUGUGUGAAGAAGGUCUUCGGAUUGUAAAGCACGUUAAGUUGGGAGGAAGGGCAGUAAGUUAAUACCUUGCUGUUUUGACGUUACCAACAGAAUAAGCACCGGCUAACUUCGUG